ACGGGUGAGUAACGCGUGGGAACGUGCCCUUCGGUUCGGAAUAACUCAGGGAAACUUGAGCUAAUACCGGAUACGUGCGAGAGCAGAAAGGUUUAUCUGCCGAAGGAUCGGCCCGCGUCUGAUUAGCUAGUUGGUGAGGUUACGGCUCACCAAGGCGACGAUCAGUAGCUGGUCUGAGAGGAUGAUCAGCCACACUGGGACUGAGACACGGCCCAGACUCCUACGGGAGGCAGCAGUGGGGAAUAUUGGACAAUGGGGGCAACCCUGAUCCAGCCAUGCCGCGUGAGUGAUGACGGCCUUAGGGUUGUAAAGCUCUUUUCUCCGGGACGAUAAUGACGGUACCGGAGGAAUAAGCCCCGGCUAACUUCGUGCCAGCAGCCGCGGUAAUACGAAGGGGGCUAGCGUUGCUCGGAAUCACUGGGCGUAAAGGGCGCGUAGGCGGCUGAUUUAGUCGAGGGUGAAAGCCCGUGGCUCAACCACGGAAUGGCCUUCGAUACUGAUUGGCUCGAGACCGGAAGAGGACAGCGGAACUGCGAGUGUAGAGGUGAAAUUCGUAGA
This 558-nucleotide ribosomal RNA is filed under the name uncultured bacterium. RNAcentral's name for it is "bacterial SSU rRNA". It matches the Rfam family "Bacterial small subunit ribosomal RNA", at positions 102 to 694 of the family's 1533-position model. The record is from RNAcentral.